Molecule: ribosomal RNA, 704 nt
Filed under: Marinobacter mobilis
Lineage: Bacteria; Pseudomonadati; Pseudomonadota; Gammaproteobacteria; Pseudomonadales; Marinobacteraceae
Description: Bacterial small subunit ribosomal RNA
Rfam family: Bacterial small subunit ribosomal RNA
Source: Rfam by way of RNAcentral
CUCUUGAAGUCUUAGUGGCGCAGCUAACGCACUAAGUAGACCGCCUGGGGAGUACGGCCGCAAGGUUAAAACUCAAAUGAAUUGACGGGGGCCCGCACAAGCGGUGGAGCAUGUGGUUUAAUUCGACGCAACGCGAAGAACCUUACCUGGCCUUGACAUCCUGCGAACUUUCUAGAGAUAGAUUGGUGCCUUCGGGAACGCAGUGACAGGUGCUGCAUGGCCGUCGUCAGCUCGUGUCGUGAGAUGUUGGGUUAAGUCCCGUAACGAGCGCAACCCCUAUCCCUAGUUGCUAGCAGUUCGGCUGAGAACUCUAGGGAGACUGCCGGUGACAAACCGGAGGAAGGUGGGGAUGACGUCAGGUCAUCAUGGCCCUUACGGCCAGGGCUACACACGUGCUACAAUGGCGCGCACAGAGGGCAGCAAACCCGCGAGGGGGAGCCAAUCUCACAAAACGCGUCGUAGUCCGGAUCGCAGUCUGCAACUCGACUGCGUGAAGUCGGAAUCGCUAGUAAUCGCGAAUCAGAAUGUCGCGGUGAAUACGUUCCCGGGCCUUGUACACACCGCCCGUCACACCAUGGGAGUGGAUUGCACCAGAAGUAGUUAGUCUAACCUUCGGGAGGACGAUUACCACGGUGUGGUUCAUGACUGGGGUGAAGUCGUAACAAGGUAGCCGUAGGGGAACCUGCGGCUGGAUCACCUCCUUA